Molecule: long non-coding RNA, 3696 nt
Organism: Homo sapiens (human)
Lineage: Eukaryota; Metazoa; Chordata; Mammalia; Primates; Hominidae
Source: Ensembl
GAACCAGAGUGGGUUCUCAGAGUCUUGGCUUUCUUUCUGCAGCCUGUCUGCCUCCUAAGCAGCUGAGAUUGUUUCCCCACUACAGAUGAGUGAUAAGCUGACUGCACCCUCACGGAUAAUUCUAUCAACUCCUGGGACCAUCGCAUAGAGGGUGCUUGAGACAUGCUGCACUGGACGAUGCACACACCCCAUCUCUCCAACAUGACUAGGCCACCAGGAUGCAUCACAGUCCUGACCCCAAUGCAGGAGACUGAAAGUCACCAAGGACUGAGACAUGCUGUCGAGCCACAAUCAGAAGAGAAACUGGAGUUGAAGAAGAGCCAGGUCUGGCCACACAGAGAAGUGAAAACCUCCAUUUAAUGGUCAGAGGCAAAGUACAAAGUUAGGCAUCAGAGAAGUGUUCCGUUUUGGUCACUAUUAUUUCUUAAGAAUCUUUCUGAACACUCCAGAACUAAAGGACUAGAAGUCCAGGGCCCUUGCUCUCAGUGUCUGAUUAGCUGCUGUCAUCUGCCUCGAAAGCUGCCCCAUGGUUUUUUCCAUCCUUGCUAGCAGCACAAACCAACUGGUUUAGCCUAACAUUGAUAAAACUACAGAAUCUCAGAUUUGGAAGGAUGCUUUUAAAGCAAAUAGCCAAGCUCCUAGCUAAUUUUCUAAUUUUGUUGCUACAAGAAUAAAGAAUUUAAUGUGGGUGUGGAGGGAGAGUUAUUUGAGUCCAUUUUUCUUCUGGUCUUUCCCCUUUUCCAAGUAUAUAGGCAAUCCUGCACUCAUUGCCUCAGGGAGGGGAGGCAAUUAGUCAGAAGAUAUAAAUAGCCAAUUGGCACUUUUUGUCUCUGUGUUUUAAAAGAGGGAACUUAGAAUUUUGGGGAUGAUGUCAAGAUCAAAUGUGUGGGAGAAACAGAGGUCAAAGAGCAUUGACUUCCUCCACCCACCACCUAGAAUAGGAUUCUCUGAGGUCUGAGGCAUGGAGAGUGAAGAGCAGAUAAUGAUGAGAACAGACAGAAUGAGGGGUUCAAGAGCCAGGUUCCCUUCUUUCUGGGCAGUAGGUAGCAAUACCCCAAAGCAGGAGGUAGCAAUACCCCAAAGAGGAGAUGGCUUCGUGCAGGGUCUAGGCACACCAGUUCAUUGCCUCUUAAAGAUUUCUGGUGUGAACCUGGGAGGCGAAGCUUGCAGUGAGCCGAGAUCGCGACGCUGCACUCCUGCCUGGGCGACAGAGCAAGACUCCGGCUCAAAAACAAACAAACAAACAAACAAACAAAAACCAAACAAGAUUUCUGGCCCUCAAGCUAUGCAGCAAAAUAUCUCUGUGAGCCUCCAGUUCUAAAAGGCCAUGCUGCAAGCCAAAUACUCUCUCAGGGUAACUCAAUGGGAACAGAUGGCUCAGGGACCAGAAGGCUCACCCUCCCUCAAUGUACUGCUAAAGGCACUAAGUAAAUCCCAACAGGGUCUUUGUCUCAACCCCCGGGAAGAAGAGAGAAACCAAUAAUAAUCGGAGAGUGUUACCCUUAGCCUGCUAGUACAAAGAUAAAACAUCAAAUUGAGUUAGAGGAAAUGUUAUUUUUCUAGAUCAAUGCAGUCUAUGGACUGAGAUUCAUAGAUCUACUAUACACAUAAACACAUGUAAAACUACUUAACACAUAAAAUGUUACCUAUAUUAUUAGCAAUGUAAUAUUAUCAGUGAGUUGAAAGUCAGCUACAAAAUCUGAAUGUCAAUUGACCUCCACGUGGUUAUCUUAUGUCCAGAUGGAAAAACGUUGGUUCAACUCAUUGUCUUUUUAAAAUCCAUUCUUAAAAGAGAAAAUAUUAAUUAAAGAUUCAUUGUCACUUUAGGAGAAAGAGAAAAGAAGAAGGUGGAGUAAGUGUCUAGCUUUAUUCCACAGGAAUUUGUCCUCGUCUCUGCUUCAUUCAGCACUCUGACAAUUCCCUGGCAAAGUGUAGAAUGUAUAUGCAUCUCCAUUAGAUUUUUUCGUCUGCUAGAUUUGACUAUUUGUUUCAACUACGCUCCUUUUUUUUUUUUUUUUUUUUAAGAGAUGGAGUCUUGCUCUGUUAUCCACCCUGGGGUGCAAUGGCACAGUCAUAGCUUACUGUAAUCUUGAACUCCUGGGCACAAGUGAUCCUCCCACCUCAGCCUCCCAAAGUGCUGAGAUUACAAGUGUGAGCCACUGUGCACAGCCCAAUUAUGCUACUUUUGAGUAUUAAUUAAGACAACUGAGAUUCUGGCUGCCCACCCAACAUCACAUUAUGCUAAAUUUAAGCACCAUAUGAAUGUACUUCUUUAAUAACUUCUUUACUAUUUUCCUUGUUCUUCCACUUUACUAUUUCUGCAAACCUCCUAAUAUAGACCAUUCAGUCUAUCUCCCUUUUCCUCUCCUACACCCUGCUAGCUCAGCAUGAGCUGCUGGAGAAAACUCCCACAUCAGUGCAGAUUGGUGUCACAACCGAAGCAAGGCUUCCAAAUGCAGCUGGCCAUCAGCAUUUCACAGGAAUGGCUCUCCUCCCUUGGCCAGUGGCAUCACUCUCUCCUGAUUCUCCUCCUACCUCCCCGCUUUUUGUUUCUCUGUCUUCUUUAUAAGCUCUUUUUCUUCUUUUCUUAGAUAUUCAUUCUUCCUGCGUUCUGGCUGGGGCGCUCAUUCAACAUGCCCCUCCUGGGAAAUCUUAGGCAUUGUGAUAACUUUGACAAUCUAUACAAGCUAAUGAUUCCCAGAUCCUUAUCUCCAGCCUAGGGCCUUCUGAGCUCUGUGUCUGUAAGUUAAUAGACAUCUCUAGCUACAUCAUUAACACAUUUUAAACACAAGUCCUAAAAUUAACUCAUUUUCUAUUAUCUCAUCCAGCAACUCCUGUAUUUCCAAUUUUGAAAAAGCCCAUCUUUUUGUGUGGGCAUGUGUAUACUUGGUUUGAUCUCUGUUCCAUUCUUUCCGGAAUGUUUGAUUGUAUCCCAUGUUCAUUAACAGGUGAACAUAUUGGCUGUUUCUCCAAUAAAAAAUGAAACAGACCAUGUGUCUGCACCUAACUAGUAUUCAAUAAAUGGUUGCUGAAUAAGUGAAUCAUUUCCAUGAUCCACUAGUUUAAUAAUCUUAUCAAAAAAGACAAUAAGUAUACUGAUAAAACUUUCAUUUAAGAACCAAUGACCCCAAUUAUACUCAUUAUUUUCCUUUCCUAAAUGCUGAUGAUCAAUUCAUUUACUAUUUCACUUGGGGUACACAUCAAGCUUAUUGGUUUAUAAUUCAUAAAGUCAUGAGAAUGAGUAGACACUUCCUCUUCUUUCUUUUGGAAAUCAGAAUUAAAAUGGGUCUCUGUGGUUGUAAGGGAACAUGCUCAUGCUCUGUAAUUCCUCAUCGAUUGUCAUUUAUGUUUCCACAACCUUACCUGCCCUUUCUUCCAGGAACCAAUGACCUGGUUUAUACAAACAUGGCUAAUAUGAACUCAUUUGGAUAGCUCUUUGUGAUUCUUAGAUAAAUCUAAGAAUUUAGAUUCCUCUUACUAAUAUUUAUUUUUCCCUUCUGACUGAAAAUACUUCUCUUUGACCAAGAAGAAAAAAAUUCAAACACCAAUUCAAUAUUUCUCGAAUUUUUUUCCUAUUGUCUAUUAACAUUAAUUUUCCUUAAUCAAUAUUCUUUCCUUAUUUUUCUAACUCUAAAAAUGACUGUGAGACUCCACUUUUGUUGUCCUUUGUGCUUUUUGCAAACCUCUACUCAUUCU